This is a long non-coding RNA of Centruroides sculpturatus (bark scorpion), 1903 nucleotides long. RefSeq lists it as uncharacterized. The transcript is spliced from 2 exons. The record is from RefSeq and is a predicted model, not a curated record. Lineage: Eukaryota; Metazoa; Arthropoda; Arachnida; Scorpiones; Buthidae.
UUGAUAUAUAUCGUUUCAGCAUAGGAACCUUUUUUUCAAAGUAGAAGGCACUAGUCGUUAUAAUUUUAUAUUAAAACUAAGUUCCGAAAUAUAAUUUUUUUUCAUUACAUCAUUAUUAUGGUUGUUUUUAUAUUCUUCAACAGAAUAGGGUGAUUUUAAUUUGUGAGAUUUUGUUGGGCGUUUCUGACUUCUUUUAUUGGGAGUUUAGUCGAAAUGAUAAUUUUAAUUAUUUUUUACUAGUUGAUAAAAUUAUCAUUUAAACUAAUCAUGCCAAAAAUAUCUAAUCCUGUACUUUCUCAAAUUUUUUAAAGAAAAUUAAACCUAAAGAUGAUUCAUUUUUUUCUCUGAAGAAGUUUAGUGGUCUUCAAUGUUCCUGUUUGUGAUGAAUUAAGUUGAAAAUUUCUUUUCACACAGUGGUUUGUUGAAGUUUCCAAACUUCAUGUUUUGGAGGUUAAACAAGACUCUGUCAAACCAAAGAAAUUAUACUGUCACAAAUGUACACACACAUCAAUGAUACUUCAUGGAAAAAACUCUGAAGGGUCCACUGGAUAAUGACCUGGCAUACAGCCAUAUGGCAUAAAACCUUAAAUUCUCUAAUCCUCCCAUUAACUGGCUUCCAUCCAAGGUUGUGGACGUAAGCCCUAUCAUCGAUAACAAUGAAGAUGACUAUCUGAAAGACUAUUGGAUGUGGAGUAACAAAUAACACACUGAAGAACUAUAAUAGAUACACAUACAAUGUAGUCCAUCCAGUUAAAUAAUCCCAAAUGCAAAAUAUGGACAGCAACCAAAGACUCACCUUACAGGACCAAAGCUUUACAAAACAUUUCAACACUAUAACCAAUCUGCACCAGAAAAUGUGGGCUGGAAAAUCUGCAUAACAGUUUAACAAUCAUGUCUUACUGAGAUACUGUCCAUGAAACACAAAUGGCCAUGGCUGUCAAAAUAAUUCUAACCAAGGGAUCAAGUGAGUCAUUAUUAUAGAAUAUAAAGUACGGAAAAUAUAUAACCAAGGAUACCUUCACUUAAUGUGACUAGGUUCAAAUAUAGGUCCAACAUCAUAAAAAUAACAAUGGUAGUAACUAAUAUCCUGGAGAGACUCAGAAUAUUUUUAUCACCAUAUGGAAUGAAAUAAUACCAUGAACAAUCUAGACCAUGCCUAAACUGUGACAGAUAUAGGCACAUCAAGCCACACUAUAAGAGGGUUAAAUAGUGCAAUCAACAGGGACAAUAACACAAUGAAAACUUAAACCAGAUAAAAAAAAAAACAAAUAUGAAUAAACCACUCUACAGACCACCCAAGCACAUCUCCCAAGUGCCUGGCAUACAGCAUACAUAACAGCCCUACAUGUAAUACUAUACUAAAGAUGGCAUAACUGUUCAAACACAGAAGCAUGUAAAGCAGUGAAGAUUGCCACAUCAAAACAUCAUGCCUAUAGCAACAAAUUAAAACAAUCUAAAACCAUUUGAGCCACAAACCAAACGUAACUAGAACCUUCCAGUGAUCCAAAAUAAUGCUGCUGUCUCUACAAUUCCUAGAAAUCAAAUGCGCCAUAAAAGUACAAAAAUCAAAUCAUACAAUGUAUGAUAGCGCACCUACAAAUAUUAUAGCAAGGUCCAAACCCCUUAGAUAAACAAAAAGCCAAUUGUCAUCCUUACCCAAGGCAACAGAAAGUGGAUAAAUGGAUGGAGACACACCAAAACCCAUCCCUGCUGAGAGACAACAGAAGAUAUAAGCAUUAUAAACCCAAGUGGAGCAACAAUAGACAAGCACCAAAGCAUUCUAUCCAAAUAGACAAAAAUCUAGCCAAAUGCCAUGAAUGCAAUCAUCAUCAAGAGCCGAAAGACAAUAAAAUGACCAUCAACUAAAAAAAAAAAAAAGAAAAAACAUGACAAACCCUGAACA